Chrysemys picta bellii (western painted turtle) is the source of this 152-nucleotide unclassified non-coding RNA. The record is from Ensembl. Lineage: Eukaryota; Metazoa; Chordata; Testudines; Emydidae.
UUGAGAGGUGCCUGGAGACCAAAUCCCUCUGUUGAUCUGCACAGCAGUAGUGCAAGCUUGCCCAGGCUGCUCCACCAAUGUGCUUCAACACUGACCAUCUCAAGCAGGAAGAAGGAAUUUCAGUUUCCUGGCCCAAUCUAUCCUCAGCCUCU